Long non-coding RNA from Sinocyclocheilus rhinocerous, 383 nucleotides. RefSeq lists it as uncharacterized. NCBI's taxonomy places the organism in Eukaryota, Metazoa, Chordata, Actinopteri, Cypriniformes, Cyprinidae. The transcript is spliced from 3 exons. The record is from RefSeq and is a predicted model, not a curated record.
UAUUGUUAACCAUAAUAAACUGCUGGCAAUAUUUGGUAAGGUGUACAUAUGCCACAUUUUUUUUUUGCCUGUAUUCAAGCUGUGAAUUUAGUCUCUUUUAUCUAGCUGUAAUGAAGUGUGUUUGUUCUGCUCACAUGUUUCCUGAGCUCUUGGCUGCCGGACACGUGGUCAUGGAGCAACUAUCAGACAGAGUGCUGAAGAAGAGGGUUAUGUGCUGGAAAAACGACACCGCUGGAAGAGAUGGCCGUGCGGCAGGGCAGAGAGGGUCAGGAGGUCGAGAUCAGUGAUGCGUCUGGACAGGAAAUGAUCUUUCAGGUGUCGUCUGGUUAAGGAUGGCAGAGACACAAUGCUCUACUUGGAUGUGUAGGAAGUUAUUCCAGGAG